Molecule: ribosomal RNA, 264 nt
Filed under: uncultured bacterium
Lineage: Bacteria
Description: partial 16S ribosomal RNA
Source: RNAcentral
CUGCUGCCUUCCGUAGGAGUUUGGGCCGUGUCUCAGUCCCAAUGUGGCCGAUCAACCUCUCAGUUCGGCUACGCAUCAUUGCCUUGGUAAGCCUUUACCCCACCAACUAGCUAAUGCGCCGCGGGCCCAUCCAAAAGCGGUAGCAUAGCCACCUUUUACAUAGUUACCAUGCGGUAACUAUGGUUAUGCGGUAUUAGCACCUGUUUCCAAGUGUUAUCCCCCCUCUUUUGGGCAGGUUGCCCACGUGUUACUCACCCGUUCGCC